AAAAGAAAAAAGGAAACUACUAGUAAUUACUAGUAUAAACUACACCUAAAAUUAUCUUCAACACCUCAUCGUCAAAAAAAUCUCUCUCCCGCCAUGAAACCACUGUGUUCCCUCACAACACCUUCACAAAUCGUCGCUCCCUUCUAUGCCAUAAUCUCCACAUCCAAAACCUCUCCAUUUCUCCAACUCCGAUCACCUCUUCAAUCCCUAGGGUUUUGUUGCCCCAAAUCACUCCCUAAUUUGCCUUCUUCUUCGAAGCACUCACCAAAAUCUCAACCCUCCUACAAUUUUCCAGGCUCAAUUUUCCCCGCAGAGUCUCAGCUGUCUGAUGCCGACGAAGAUGAAGAUGACGAUGACGACGACGACGACGAAGCAGCAGAAGAGUACGAAGAAAUCUCCGGCGAAGUUUCAGAGGACGGAGCAGAAAAAAGUGAAGAUGAAAUUGGUAGUUCAGUGGAUGAUGAAGCAGAGGUGAGGCCGCGGUUUGUGGAAUCCAAGUGGCAGAGAGUCGAGAAGCUUUGCAACGAAGUCAGAGAGUUCGGCGAUGAAAUCAUCGAUGCCGAUGAACUCGCCUCCAUUUAUGAUUUCCGCAUUGAUAAAUUUCAGCGAUUGGCAAUUCAAGCAUUCUUGAGAGGUUCAUCGGUUGUGGUUUCUGCGCCUACAAGCAGUGGAAAAACUUUGGUUGCAGAAGCUGCAGCUGUUGCAACAGUAGCCAGAGGAAGGAGAAUAUUUUACACGACUCCUCUUAAGGCAUUAUCAAAUCAGAAAUUUCGUGAGUUCCGAGAGACAUUUGGUGAUAGCAAUGUUGGUCUUCUCACUGGAGAUUCUGUAAUAAACAAAGAUGCUCAGGUUCUAGUCAUGACCACAGAGAUUCUACGCAACAUGUUAUACCGGAGUGUUGGAAUAGUUUCUUCUGAAAGUGGACUUUUCCACGUCGAUGCUGUUGUUUUGGAUGAAGUACAUUACCUAAGUGAUAUAUCUCGGGGUACAGUCUGGGAAGAGAUUGUUAUUUAUUGCCCAAAAGAUGUUCAGCUUAUAUGUCUGUCGGCAACAGUUGCAAAUCCAGAUGAGUUGGCUGGUUGGAUUGGUCAGAUUCAUGGUAAAACUGAGCUGGUCACUGCAUCCAAGCGUCCAGUUCCGUUGACUUGGCACUUCUCUACAAAGACAUCUUUGUUGCCUCUUCUUAAUGAGAAAGGAACAGGCAUGAAUAGGAAGCUGUCGCUCAACUAUUUACAACUUCAUUCAUCAGGAGUUAAAUCAUACAAGGACGAGGGAUCCAGAAGAAGGAACUCUAGAAAACGUGAAAGUGACAUGAUCAACAACAAUAUUGCUAAUAUAGCUGGACAAUCUUAUCUAUCAAAGAAUGACAUAAGCAACAUUCGCCGUUCACAGGUUCCUCAAGUUAGAGAUACAUUGCAGCACCUUAAGGCAAGGGAUAUGCUGCCAGCAAUUUGGUUUAUCUUCAACAGGAGGGGAUGUGAUGCAGCUGUUCAGUAUCUUGAAGAUUGCAAGCUUCUAGAUGAGUGUGAAAUGAGUGAGGUUCAACUGGCCUUGAAGAGAUUCCGUGUUCAGUAUCCUGAUGCUGUCAGAGACUUAUCUGUAAAAGGUAUUCUACGAGGGGUUGCUGCUCAUCAUGCUGGCUGUUUACCACUCUGGAAAUCCUUUGUAGAAGAGUUAUUUCAGAGAGGACUUGUUAAGGUUGUUUUUGCUACAGAGACGCUUGCUGCUGGGAUAAACAUGCCUGCUAGGACAGCUGUUAUUUCAUCUCUCAGCAAAAGGAGUGAAAGUGGCCGUAUCCAGCUAAGCCCAAAUGACUUGCUUCAAAUGGCUGGGCGUGCUGGGCGUAGAGGCAUUGAUGAAAGGGGUCAUGCAGUUCUUGUUCAGACAUCCUACGAAGGGGCUGAAGAGUGCUCCAAGCUUCUCUUUGCUGGUCUUGAGCCUCUUGUAUCACAGUUUUCUGCUUCAUAUGGAAUGGUGUUAAAUCUUCUUGCGGGUGCAAAAGUUACUCGUAGAUUGAAUGAAUCAGAUGAAAUGAAAGUUUCCCAAGCAGGGCAAACUUUGGAAGAAGCGAGGAAGUUAGUUGAGCAAAGUUUUGGAAAUUAUGUGGGGAGCAAUGUUAUGAUCGCUGCAAAAGAGGAACUCGCAAAAAUACAAAAGGAGAUUGAGAUGCUGACUUCAGAAGCUAGUGAUGAAGCUAUUGAUAAAAAGAGCCGGAAACUGUUAACAGAUAUGGCGUAUAGGGAGAUUGCUGAUCUGCAGGAAGAACUAAGGACAGAAAAACGUCUGCGGACUGAGUUGCGAAGAAGGAUGGAAUUGGAGAGGGUAUAUGCUUUGAAACCUCUACUCAAAGUGUUGGGAGAUGGGCAUUUACCAUUUAUUUGUCUGCAGUAUAAGAAUACCGAAGAAGUUCAAAAUUUAGUUCCUGCUGUUUAUUUGGGGAAGGUCGAUUCCAUGAAUGGUUCUAAACUUGGAAAUGUGGUUGAUGCCAAUGAUUCUUUUGCACUAGAUAUAGUAGGACCAGAAUUAUAUGUUGAUAAUCCUGGAAUGAAACUUGACGUGAAGCCAUCUUAUCAUGUGGCUCUCGGUUCAGAUAACUCUUGGUAUCUUUUCACAGAGAAGUGGAUUAAAACAGUUUACAGAACAGGCUUCCCAAAUGUUGCCUUGGCUCAUGGUGAUGCUUUGCCCAGAGAAAUCAUGAGUGCGCUACUUGAUAAGGAGGAAAUGCAGUGGCAAAGGCUCGCAGAUUCCGGACUUGGGGGUUUAUGGUGUAUGGAAGGAUCUCUAGAGACAUGGUCUUGGAGUUUAAAUGUGCCUGUUUUGAGUAGUCUUUCGGAAGAUGACGAGGUUUUGCAAUUCUCACGAGAAUACCAUGAAGCAGUAGAAUGUUAUAAGGACCAACGGAAUAAAGUUUCGCGUCUGAAGAAAAAGAUAGCCCGUACAGAAGGCUUUAGGGAAUAUAAGAAGAUCAUAGAUAUGGCUAAGUUUAGUGAGGACAAAAUUCGACGUUUGAAGGCUAGAUCAAAUCGUUUGAUUAGCCGAAUAGAGCAGAUUGAACCAUCCGGUUGGAAAGAGUUUCUGCAGAUCAGCAAUGUCAUACAUGAAACCAGGGCAUUGGAUAUCAAUACGCAAAUGAUAUUUCCUCUUGGAGAAACUGCAGCUGCAAUUCGAGGAGAAAAUGAACUUUGGCUUGCAAUGGUUCUUCGAAAUAAAAUUUUGUUAGAUCUAAAACCUGCACAGCUUGCAGCCGUCUUUGGAAGUUUAGUUUCUGAAGGGAUUAAAGUUCGUCCCUGGAAAAAUAACAGCUACAUAUAUGAACCUUCCACCACUGUAGUAGACGUCAUCAACUUUUUGGAUGAGCAAAGAAACUUCCUUCUACAACUUCAAGAAAAGCAUGAUGUAAAGAUACCUUGCUGUUUGGAUCGCCAAUUUUCUGGUAUGGUUGAAGCGUGGGCUUCUGGUUUAACGUGGAGGGAACUUAUGAUGGAUUGUGCUAUGGAUGAAGGUGAUCUAGCUCGACUCUUUCGACGAACAAUUGAUCUGUUGGCUCAGGUUCCCAAAUUGCCUGAUAUUGACUCAUUGCUGCAAAGCAACGCAAUGACCGCACUCAACAUCAUGGACCGUCCACCGAUUAGUGAACUGGCUGGAUGAAAUAAAUAAAAGAGCCGUCAAAAGAUAUGUUACACUUCAUAUGUUGUGCCCUAUCGAUGAAUAUGUUAUGGUAAACAUGCUGCGACGAGUGAUCGCUGCCUAAUCACUAAAGGACUCUUGGCAUGUACUGCUGCUGCUGCUAAAUUCCUGACAGGCAAUCUUUUGAUUCCUUUAACUCAUGGAAAGGAAACUUGGCAGGUUGAGGGGUGUCACCCAAAGUAUGGUACCUUCAACCCAAGUCUAAUCCAACUUGAUCUUCAACCCAAAUUCCUCCACCAGCUUAACGUGCGGUCAACGUUCAAGUCUAUGAACUCGUUGAACUUGGAUAAGGAAAUUGCAAAUUGGAUCGAGUUCGAGUGGUAGAAACACAAGGAGGAUUCUUCCUGAAAUUACAAAUGUUGCAACCAGCUUCAUGGUAUUGCCAUAGUUGUGGCAGCGCAUUCGGUUAUUUAUGGCAUUGAGGGAAGGUAUCAAGUGCAUCCAAGUGAAUCAGCAUUUGGAGAUAAUUCUUUAUGUGGUCUUGAGGAAGAAUGACUCUCAGGUAUGGGCUUCUACCUGGGAUGUUCAACCAUUUUUUUUCUUUCUUUCUGUUCUCAAAUUCUGGUCGUCUGUAUAGGCAAGGCUAAUAUAGAUCAUUACCUUUCUGGUUGUCAUGAUUGGAAAUUUUUGCUCCCUGGCUCAAUUGGUAAAACUGUUGACAAGUGAGGGAGUUUACAAGUCUGAUUUAUUACAGAUCGUUUAUUGCUGAA
RNA transcript from Cornus florida, 4397 nucleotides. It is a transcript of the gene named DExH-box ATP-dependent RNA helicase DExH15 chloroplastic, with no coding region annotated. The transcript is spliced from 19 exons. The record is from RefSeq and is a predicted model, not a curated record. NCBI's taxonomy places the organism in Eukaryota, Viridiplantae, Streptophyta, Magnoliopsida, Cornales, Cornaceae.